RNAcentral lists this ribosomal RNA (226 nucleotides) under uncultured bacterium. RNAcentral's name for it is "partial 16S ribosomal RNA". It matches the Rfam family "Bacterial small subunit ribosomal RNA", at positions 128 to 354 of the family's 1533-position model. The record is from RNAcentral.
GCCUUGGAGUGGGAAUAACAGCUGGAAACAGCUGCUAAUACCGCAUGAUGCAGUUGGGCCGCAUGGCUCUGACUGCCAAAGAUUUAUCGCUCUGAGAUGGACUCGCGUCUGAUUAGCUAGUUGGCGGGGUAACGGCCCACCAAGGCGACGAUCAGUAGCCGGACUGAGAGGUUGGCCGGCCACAUUGGGACUGAGACACGGCCCAGACUCCUACGGAAGGCAGCAG